AGUCUGAGGGCUCCAACAGUGAC
This 23-nucleotide non-coding RNA is filed under the name Cricetulus griseus (Chinese hamster). Lineage: Eukaryota; Metazoa; Chordata; Mammalia; Rodentia; Cricetidae. The record is from RNAcentral.